RNAcentral lists this microRNA (19 nucleotides) under Chiloscyllium plagiosum (whitespotted bambooshark). RNAcentral's name for it is "microRNA PC-5p-2274882_1". The record is from RNAcentral. Lineage: Eukaryota; Metazoa; Chordata; Chondrichthyes; Orectolobiformes; Hemiscylliidae.
GUAUGUCUGUGUGUGUCUG